RNAcentral lists this long non-coding RNA (228 nucleotides) under Theobroma cacao (cacao). RNAcentral describes it as "long non-coding RNA (TCAC_LNC003419)". Lineage: Eukaryota; Viridiplantae; Streptophyta; Magnoliopsida; Malvales; Malvaceae. The record is from RNAcentral.
ACUCCCUUUUUUGCUAACAUAUCAGCAGCAUUGUUAGCACUUCGUAAGGUAUGCACCACAUUCCACUCUUUGAUUCUCCCUUUCAAGUUUUCAAUCCUAAGCAUCCAUCUCCUAUACUUCCAAGUAGCACGGUUAGGAUUGUUUGACCAUUUCGCUUUCAAACUCAAGAGAGUGAGUUUCAGCCCAUUUUAAAGCAGCAAAAAUUGUGAAAGCCUCGAGAAUAGCUCU